UUGGUUGCUUGGGCAACAGGGCAAGUUUUCCUCUGCACAGGUUUUGAUAAAUCUCCCUCAGUGUCCUAAAAAAGUUCAAUGGAGUCUUCCUCACCUGGUGUCCAAAGGAGCAGCUAACUGUGGCACAGUUAUCGGAAGAAGGAUAAGGCCAGCGUGGAAAAUGCAAAAAGAUCCCUUUAUUGGAUAAAAUCAAAAUCACAGGACAAGGCAACCAGAAAUGACGCGUUUCAGGCGUGAACCGCCCUUAGUCAUAUAAUAGAACCAUAAAGUAACAUCCUAUAUGUAGGGCAAGUGAGCCUAUAUCUAUUGCUGUCGCCGCACAUCGGCCGUGCUGUGGACGGGACAUUGGUUUGAUCAUCCAGAUCACCAAUGCAAUAUUACUAUGUAAAGGCGAUGAACCUUCUAUUGUCCACUGUGUAUUUAAAAAUUAAGAAAUUCCUAAGAAUAUUUAUCCUACAAGUGUAGUAUCUGGGUUAAACAUUGCCUGUGGACUUCACCCAUAUGUGCAACCAUUGGAUCACACUCUUGUCAGCACCACUGAGAUGCAUUUUUAAAAUCUAUUCACAUGUACAGUAUCCUGCGUAUAUUUGAAGCUGCAGAUUUGAAACUGUUUUCAGUCAUUUAGUUUAUAUUACAAUCUGCAGCAUUAAACCCUGUGCAUCAAAUU
Long non-coding RNA from Hyla sarda, 667 nucleotides. RefSeq lists it as uncharacterized. The transcript has 3 exons. Lineage: Eukaryota; Metazoa; Chordata; Amphibia; Anura; Hylidae. The record is from RefSeq and is a predicted model, not a curated record.